AGGACGAACGCUGGCGGCGUGCCUAACACAUGCAAGUCGAGCGGGGACAUGCGACGGAUAGGAAGUUUCGGAUGGACUUGAAGAUGCAUUGUCUAGCGGCGGACGGGUGAGUAACGCGUGAGCAACCUGUCCCUUACAGGGGGAUAACACAGCGAAAGUUGUACUAAUACCGCAUAAGACCACGGGAGGACAUCCUUCAGGGGGUCAAAGGAGGAAUCCGGUAAGGGGUGGGCUCGCGUCCGAUUAGAUAGUUGGUGGGGUAACGGCCCACCAAGUCGACGAUCGGUAGCCGACCUGAGAGGGUGAUCGGCCACAUUGGGACUGAGACACGGCCCAAACUCCUACGGGAGGCAGCAGUGGGGAAUAUUGGGCAAUGGGGGAAACCCUGACCCAGCAACGCCGCGUGAGGGAAGAAGGUUUUCGGAUCGUAAAGCUCUGUUGUAAGGGAAGAAUGGCAGGGAAAGAAUCUCUGAGUGACGGUACCUUACCAGAAAGCCACGGCUAACUACGUGCCAGCAGCCGC
Molecule: ribosomal RNA, 523 nt
Filed under: uncultured bacterium
Lineage: Bacteria
Description: bacterial SSU rRNA
Rfam family: Bacterial small subunit ribosomal RNA
Source: RNAcentral